GAGUUUGAUCGUGGCUCAGAGUGAACGCUGGCGGUAGGCCUAACACAUGCAAGUCGAACGGUAACAGGUCUUUCGGGAUGCUGACGAGUGGCGGACGGGUGAGGAAUACAUCGGAAUCUGCUCAGUCGUGGGGGAUAACGCAUGGAAACGUGCGCUAAUACCGCAUACGACCUUCGGGUGAAAGCAGGGGAAUCUUUAGGGAUCCUUGCGCGAUUGAAUGAGCCGAUGUCGGAUUAGCUAGUUGGUAGGGUAAAAGCCUACCAAGGCGACGAUCCGUAGCUGGUCUGAGAGGAUGAUCAGCCACACUGGGACUGAGACACGGCCCAGACUCCUGCGGGAGGCAGCAGUGGGGAAUAUUGGACAAUGGGGGCAACCCUGAUCCAGCCAUACCGCGUGGGUGAAGAAGGCCUUCUGGGUUGUAAAGCCCUUUUGUUGGGGAAGAAAAACAACGGGUUAAUACCCCGUUGGUAUGACGGUACCCAAAGAAUAAGCACCGGCUAACUUCGUGCCAGCAGCCGCGGUAAUACGAAGGGUGCAAGCGUUACUCGGAAUUACUGGGCGUAAAGGGUGCGUAGGUGGUUGCGCCAGUCUGUCGUGAAAGCCCUGGGCUUAACCUGGGAAUGGCGAUGGAAACUGUGCAACUAGAGAGUGACAGAGGGUGGUGGAAUUCCUGGUGUAGCAGUGAAAUGCGUAGAGAUCAGGAGGAACAUUCGUGGCGAAGGCGGCCACCUGGGUCAACACUGACACUGAGGCACGAAAGCGUGGGGAGCAAACAGGAUUAGAUACCCUGGUAGUCCACGCCCUAAACGAUGCGAACUGGAUGUUGGGUCCAACUUGGGAUUCAGUAUCGAAGCUAACGCGUUAAGUUCGCCGCCUGGGGAGUACGGUCGCAAGACUGAAACUCAAAGGAAUUGACGGGGGCCCGCACAAGCGGUGGAGUAUGUGGUUUAAUUCGAUGCAACGCGCAGAACCUUACCUGGCCUUGACAUGCACGGGAGUCUUUAGAGAUAGAG
This 1013-nucleotide ribosomal RNA is filed under the name uncultured Lysobacterales bacterium. RNAcentral describes it as "bacterial SSU rRNA". It matches the Rfam family "Bacterial small subunit ribosomal RNA", at positions 9 to 1011 of the family's 1533-position model. Lineage: Bacteria; Pseudomonadati; Pseudomonadota; Gammaproteobacteria; Lysobacterales. The record is from RNAcentral.